GCAGCAGCCGCGGGAAUACGGAGGAUCCAAGCGUUAUCCGGAAUCAUUGGGUUUAAAGGGUCCGUAGGCGGUCUUGUAAGUCAGUGGUGAAAGCCCAUCGCUCAACGGUGGAACGGCCAUUGAUACUGCAGGACUUGAAUUAUUGGGAAGUAACUAGAAUAUGUAGUGUAGCGGUGAAAUGCUUAGAGAUUACAUGGAAUACCAAUUGCGAAGGCAGGUUACUACCAAUUGAUUGACGCUGAUGGACGAAAGCGUGGGUAGCGAACAGGAUUAGAUACCCGCGUAGUCCCUGUCUCUUAUAC
RNAcentral lists this ribosomal RNA (302 nucleotides) under uncultured bacterium. RNAcentral describes it as "partial 16S ribosomal RNA". It matches the Rfam family "Bacterial small subunit ribosomal RNA", at positions 508 to 807 of the family's 1533-position model. The record is from RNAcentral.